Molecule: ribosomal RNA, 495 nt
Filed under: uncultured bacterium
Lineage: Bacteria
Description: partial 16S ribosomal RNA
Rfam family: Bacterial small subunit ribosomal RNA
Source: RNAcentral
GACGAACGCUGGCGGCGUGCCUAAUACAUGCAAGUAGAACGCUGAAGGAGGAGCUUGCUUCUCUGGAUGAGUUGCGAACGGGUGAGUAACGCGUAGGUAACCUGCCUGGUAGCGGGGGAUAACUAUUGGAAACGAUAGCUAAUACCGCAUAAUAGUAGAUGUUGCAUGACAUUUGCUUAAAAGGUGCAAUUGCAUCACUACCAGAUGGACCUGCGUUGUAUUAGCUAGUUGGUGGGGUAACGGCUCACCAAGGCGACGAUACAUAGCCGACCUGAGAGGGUGAUCGGCCACACUGGGACUGAGACACGGCCCAGACUCCUACGGGAGGCAGCAGUAGGGAAUCUUCGGCCAUGGACGGAAGUCUGACCGAGCAACGCCGCGUGAGUGAAGAAGGUUUUCGGAUCGUAAAGCUCUGUUGUAAGAGAAGAACGAGUGUGAGAGUGGAAAGUUCACACUGUGACGGUAUCUUACCAGAAAGGGACGGCUAACUACGUG